UACGGAGGGUGCAAGCGUUGUUCGGAAUCACUGGGCGUAAAGGGCGUGUAGGCGGCCCGCUAAGUCUGAUGUGAAAUCCCACGGCUCAACCGUGGAACUGUAUUUGAAACUGUUCGGCUCGAGUCCGGGAGAGGGUAGUGGAAUUCCCAGUGUAGCGGUGAAAUGCGUAGAUAUUGGGAGGAACACCGGUGGCGAAGGCGGCUACCUGGACCGGUACUGACGCUGAGGCGCGAAAGCUAGGGUAGCAAACAGG
RNAcentral lists this ribosomal RNA (253 nucleotides) under uncultured bacterium. Its description in RNAcentral is "partial 16S ribosomal RNA". It matches the Rfam family "Bacterial small subunit ribosomal RNA", at positions 524 to 776 of the family's 1533-position model. The record is from RNAcentral.